RNAcentral lists this ribosomal RNA (497 nucleotides) under uncultured bacterium. RNAcentral describes it as "partial 16S ribosomal RNA". It matches the Rfam family "Bacterial small subunit ribosomal RNA", at positions 28 to 507 of the family's 1533-position model. The record is from RNAcentral.
GAUGAACGCUGGCGGCGUGCCUAAUACAUGCAAGUCGAGCGAACGGAUGAGAAGCUUGCUUCUCUGAUGUUAGCGGCGGACGGGUGAGUAACACGUGGAUAACCUACCUAUAAGACUGGGAUAACUUCGGGAAACCGGAGCUAAUACCGGAUAAUAUUUUGAACCGCAUGGUUCAAAAGUGAAAGACGGUCUUGCUGUCACUUAUAGAUGGAUCCGCGCUGCAUUAGCUAGUUGGUAAGGUAACGGCUUACCAAGGCAACGAUGCAUAGCCGACCUGAGAGGGUGAUCGGCCACACUGUAACUGAGACACGGUCCAGACUCCUACGGGAGGCAGCAGUAGGGAAUCUUCCGCAAUGGGCGAAAGCCUGACGGAGCAACGCCGCGUGAGUGAUGAAGGUCUUCGGAUCGUAAAACUCUGUUAUUAGGGAAGAACAUAUGUGUAAGUAACUGUGCACAUCUUGACGGUACCUAAUCAGAAAGCCACGGCUAACUACGUG